UGUGGGAGCGAGCCUGCUCGCGAUGGCGGUAGAGCUGUCACAUCCCUGUCGACUGACAGGCCGCUAUCGCGAGCAGGCUCGCUCCCACA
This 89-nucleotide unclassified non-coding RNA is filed under the name Pseudomonas mediterranea. Lineage: Bacteria; Pseudomonadati; Pseudomonadota; Gammaproteobacteria; Pseudomonadales; Pseudomonadaceae. The record is from RNAcentral.